Molecule: RNase P RNA, 386 nt
Filed under: Myxococcota bacterium
Lineage: Bacteria; Pseudomonadati; Myxococcota
Description: RNase P RNA component class A
Rfam family: Bacterial RNase P class A
About the family: Ribonuclease P (RNase P) is a ubiquitous endoribonuclease, found in archaea, bacteria and eukarya as well as chloroplasts and mitochondria.
Source: RNAcentral
GGAGCGGCCUGGGUGAACGCCGGUCGUUGCAGGAAUGGACGACGGGAGGAAAGUCCGAGCUCCACAGGGCAGGGUGCUGGUUAACGACCAGUCGGAGUGAUCCGCAGGAAAGUGCCACAGAAAAUAAACCGCCUCCCGCGAGGGAGGUAAGGGUGAAACGGUGCGGUAAGAGCGCACCGCGGUCAGGGUGACUUGACCGGCACGGCAAACCCCACCUGGAGCAAGAGCCAAUAGGGAAGCGUCCCCUCGCGGGGACAAGGAUGGCCCGUCCGAAGCUUCCGGGUUGCUCGCUGAUGAGGCCCCUGGGCAACCAGGGCCCUAGACGAAUGUUCGCCGCCCGAUCGAAAGGUCGGGGACAAAACUCGGCUUACAGGGCCGCUCCGGCG